Long non-coding RNA from Perca flavescens (yellow perch), 636 nucleotides. RefSeq lists it as uncharacterized. Lineage: Eukaryota; Metazoa; Chordata; Actinopteri; Perciformes; Percidae. The record is from RefSeq and is a predicted model, not a curated record. The transcript is spliced from 4 exons.
GUGUGUCAGACAGAGAGAGGAAGUCGAUUGUGUUGCCGAUGGAAUAAUGCAGCAGCACGUGCAGGACCUGCACCGGCGACAGGUUCUGAUUGGACGACAGGAUCACUGCUGCUACACCUGCACACGCACAAACCAAAGUAUAAAGCACUUCUUGCGCUGCAUCUACUAAGCUCGUGUUUCGUCUUCAUUUUAGGUGUGUGCGCAUACCAGCAGCGUGCGCAGCAGCCUGGGAGGUUCCACUCCGGGAGGUGAAACAGGUGCUGCAGUCACUACUGGCACUGACGAUGUCAUCGCCGGGUGCAAACAGAUCAACGCAGCGGCCAAAGUUGGUGCCACCCGCUCCCUGUGACAUGAGCUGGUCCGCUGAGUUAACUGCCCCUACGGGACGUUGUUGAAGUCUGUGAUGAGCACUCGUCCUUCAACCUCUCUGUGAGAACUCUGAACACUGCCAUCCAUCAGAUACACCUCCGCCAUCCCUCCAUCGUCUGCAGAAGAAGAGGUCCCACCAUGAGGCUGCAGUAACCUCUGGAGGUUCCAGGGGGCACUCUGAGCAAAGACGGACGAGUCCUCCUCUAUGUAGUGGACCUGAGGGAGCUUCACCGCCUGGGAGGACCGCUAGGUGAGAAAGGGGAGAAG